This is a long non-coding RNA of Oxyura jamaicensis (ruddy duck), 349 nucleotides long. RefSeq lists it as uncharacterized. The transcript is spliced from 3 exons. The record is from RefSeq and is a predicted model, not a curated record. NCBI's taxonomy places the organism in Eukaryota, Metazoa, Chordata, Aves, Anseriformes, Anatidae.
CAGGUACAAAGGGUGACUAGUGAGGUGAUCAGAGAAAAGGACAACUGUCUGAAAAGAAGCUGGGCCUGGCAAAGCAGAGGUUGAGAGCAUUGCUGUCUAUAAAUAUAUGAUGAGGAACAUCUGGUGGCACCAUACUGUCCAGAACCUCAAGACGUGCCCCUGCCAGAAGAAACAUCAGGCUCCAUCUCAGCAAGGGAGCAGAGCCAGAAUGUGUCUAUACAUUAACUGGAAUUUAUGGAAGUCAUGAAAGCUAAUCAUAUGCUAUGAUUCAAUGGACCUGGAGUUAGAAGCUUGUAUUCCUUCCAUAGCUGGAGUAGAGAUGGGCCUCUCCAGGGCAGGAUUCAUGAAA